Long non-coding RNA from Onychostoma macrolepis, 1168 nucleotides. RefSeq lists it as uncharacterized. The transcript is spliced from 4 exons. The record is from RefSeq and is a predicted model, not a curated record. Lineage: Eukaryota; Metazoa; Chordata; Actinopteri; Cypriniformes; Cyprinidae.
UAGACGGGAUUGGGCGAGUGCCCUGGGGCACCAGCCAGUAAGGGGGCACCAAGUGAUUAAGAAAAUAACUAGACCUUUAAAAUAUUUUUAAUGUUUUGUAUAUAUUAUUUUGCUGGAAGAGUUGCAGAUGCAUAGAAAAUAAACAGUUAAUGAUCCAAUGUAUACAGAGAGAAUAUAAAAUAUAUGCAUGCAUAUAGAACUGCGAUUGGGUCAGGCCACAGUGUAAUUGCGCCCUCCCCCAGUCAGAGUCGAGCCCGCCAAUUUAUAAUAUUCAAUUCAUAAUGGAUAGGCAGCAUCAGCGUAGCAGUUGGGCUAAAUGUAAAUUAAAAAAUGAGAAAAUAUCAGGGCACAUAGCCAGGGCUCUACAAUGCGACUGAAAAGUACUGCGUGCAACUAUCAAAACAUACCCGAUCAGCAUUUGUGUUUGCGCUCGCGCUCAGGGGAGCUUCAAAGGUUUCUACUUGCGUGUUCGCGCAGCGAGACCUGAUUCCCUGGACUCUGGUGUGGAGUUUUGCAGCAGAUGGCAGUAAAGCGUCUGAGGAGCGACUCGAAUCCAGAAGAAGAGCCCAGCUGCUGAAGCAUGGCGGCACAGUAGCCCUCUUUGUCUGUUUGAUUGUUUUAAAGCAUGUAUUUUCCCUCUGAAUUUGUGCUCUAAUCCAGAGACGCAGCACGAAGGCUUCUGCUGAUUCUGGUCGAUGACGCCAUCAGGAGCACAUCCGAGCACCGAGUGUCAGAUAAUUAAUGUCUACGCUUCACGGUCCAGAAGACCCAAGAGACGUCCUCAUUACAAGUUCAGUACAUCUGCAGGAUCCGAGUGGUGAUGCUAUUUGGAUUUUUAAUACACUAUGAAUUAAACUUACAGUUGUCUUUUUUUAAUUCAAACAUGUACAAUCAUAAAGAAAAUUAAUUAUGCAGUACAAUAAUUUGGGAUAAAUGUCAAAAAUCGAUGUUUUCGCUCCAGCGCUGAUCUCACACCAGUUCAUUCUCCAACAGUUCAAUCCUCUUCAUCACAGUGUCUAGUGUUGUGCUGUUAAGAAAUGUCAUUUUUGUGUGCUGUUGGUGAGAAAUGAUGUAAAACACUGGAUCUUUUGAGUUCAUUUAUGUUCAGCAGUCAUUAGUGAUAUGUUAGACGCUGACGCUUGUCAAAUAAACCACGUUUCACACGGAA